Molecule: long non-coding RNA, 2415 nt
Filed under: Strigops habroptila (Kakapo)
Lineage: Eukaryota; Metazoa; Chordata; Aves; Psittaciformes; Psittacidae
Description: lncRNA (ENSSHBG00005021130.1)
Source: RNAcentral
UUUAAAGAUGACACUGAUUUUAUUUUCCUCGUAUAAAAGGAGACAUUUUACUCUGUGUUGAUUUAACAAAUAUUCUUAAUAUAUUCAUAACAAUAAAGCAGCUAAAAAGCUGUUCUAAUCUCUAAAAGAAUCUUUUAUCAUCUGCACAUAUGAUAUAUAUUGUAAACAAUCACUCCAAAAAAAAAGUUUUGUUAAAGUGAUUAUAUUGCACUCAGAAUUCUGGAAUUCUCAUUCUCCCUUCUCAUUUUAAAUUAAAGAUCAGCUUCAUUUUUUCAUAAAAUGGAGCUUUAAUUUUCUACUAAAAACAAGUAGGCAUGCAAUCAAUAUAAUACAAUGUACUUAAAAUGUCAGAAAAAGGGUGUUUGGUUAUGAAACUGGAGUAAGGAACAAUUCUCAAAUAGGCCACAUGAGAGUAGUAUACUGUAAACAUUCUGCUGGCUCUAAGGUGUCGCAGAUGCUGUAGAGUGCAGUCUAGUUCAGCACCCAAGAGGUACACAGAAUCUGUUCAAGUGUUCUGUACUUCAGCGAAUUUCCAUGCAGCAAUGGCACGUGGAAUAGGCUACACACACAUAAAGACAGAGCAAUGAAACAAAGGUGAUUAAUGAGCUAAUACUGGCCUUAUAGAAACAGGGCCAAUCAUUCUAAGUUCACUGUAAUUCUUAAAUGCAAGUUUUCGAGCUCAUUGCAUUUUCUAACAUAGCAAUGAAACUGUUACUCCUGCUGUAAAUGAAUACAGAACUAGACUCCCUACUUGUAGCUUACACGGACUGCUUACCAGUGGCAGGCUGGGCACUACCCUCAGCCUCAAACAUCCCAGCAAGAUACUAUCAUGCAGAAUGUCACCUUGCUUUGCUUGCAAAAGUGACGCCCUCCUCCGUGCACCGGAGCAAGAAACACAGGUAGUGGAGGGGGGGGGAAAGAGAAUAGGAAAAAAAAAAGGGGGGAGAAAACAAUGUUCUUAUGCAGAAAAAUAAAUCCUCAGCCAGUGUGAAGAGGCCACAGAUCUUUAAAAUUCAAAUGAAGGCUGUUUUCUCAACUCAGUUCUACAAGAGAAAGAUUUCUCUAUCAAACCCAUUAUCUUCAGGUAACAGAAUUUCUUUGGAGUCCCUGAGAUACUACAGCUCUUGGACAAAUGGAGAGACUGACUUAGUAUACAGAUAAACAAGGUGGAAGCCAAUAUAUAGCACCCUGAGUUGCAAGUGAAACAACAGGAAUGGGUAACCCACUCCUCAACAGCCAAGAGAUGCCGAAGAAAGUGCAGAGGAGGAAUUGGCUAGGGAAUUAUAAGAUAUAUACUGCACAGGAGAACAGGGGAAAAAAAUAAUUGAAGUAUUUCUAAAAGGUCUUUCCUUGUUAUCAGAGCAGUGAAGAAAAAGACAGCAGUCAGAGAGAAGAGCUUCUGAGAGAUGCCCUGAAGAAAUACAGCCUUCUAGGUGUACAGCAGAACGAUAAUGCAAAAGCAGAGACAAGUUUGGCAGUCUUGUUCCAAGCGUGCCCUGAAGGAUAAGCACUCCAGCAAUCACUCAGAACUGUCAGCAAUCACUGACUAGUACUCUGGAUAUAAACCAGGAAUAGAAAUACUUUCCCCCCUGAAACUACAGAAAAAAUACAAAGAGGAAAAAUACAAAGUCACAAUUAAAUCAGAGAAUACUUUCCAUAGUCAAAAAUGAAAUACUGGCUUCAGAAACAAUACAGCCAUCUGCUCUGUAUCUUAAAUAGCGUUAAUCAUAAAAAAGAAGUGCUUGUAAAAUCUAAGUAUGAUAUAUUUUAUUUCCCCGCAUAUUGCUAAAUAAUUUUGCAGUUAAACCAAAAAGGAAGAAAUAUCAGAGAUGAAUAUGGAAUACUUACAACUAGAAAAUGGUUGCUGAACCAUCUGAAUUUCUAUAAAAACAUCAAUCAAAAUGUAAAAACAGGGUCUCACAAACCUAACUAGAAUCUGAAAUGCCAGAUUGUCUUCACAAUGGUUACAACAUGAAUAUUGAUGGAGUUUUGCAACCAAAACUAAUUGUGACUUCGCCAAAAGAUGGCUUAAUACCGCAAUCAAAACAUCUAAGAACUGGGACUUGUAUUUCUGCAAUUUCCUAUUCUCUCAGCUGUUCAGCAUUCAGUGAAUUUAAUGCUGAACUGCUUAAUAGCUUACUUUCUAUUAAGCAAUUCUCAUUAGAAAAAAAAUGCUGCCUGGUCACAAUUUUACUCUCUAACGGAGUUGUGCUGUGUCUCCAUCCAUUCUUGGGAAAAUAAAGAAAAGUGAAUAAAAAGCUGAACGGAAAUGGACACUCUAUAAAAGCUACCUGUAAAGUAUCCUAAGUCUGGAAAAUAUUUGUGACAUUACACAGGCUACUGCUGAUGCAAAAGAAAAAUUGCAGUUUAACCAUUUCAUGAAUAUGACCAAUGCACUUGUUCCCAGCCAUUCAG